AGCGUAGGCGGAUAGUUUAGUCAGAGGUGAAAGCCCAGGGCUCAACCUUGGAAAGUGCCUUUGAUACUGGCUAUCUUGAGUAUGGGAGAGGUAAGGCGGAAGUUCCGAGUGUAGAGGUGAAAUUCGUAGAAUAUUCGGAAGAACACCGGUGGCGAAGGCGGCUUACUGGCCCAUUACUGACGCUGAGGCUCGAAAGCGUGGGGAGCAAACA
This 211-nucleotide ribosomal RNA is filed under the name uncultured bacterium. RNAcentral describes it as "partial 16S ribosomal RNA". It matches the Rfam family "Bacterial small subunit ribosomal RNA", at positions 568 to 774 of the family's 1533-position model. The record is from RNAcentral.